GAUGAACGCUGGCGGCGUGCCUAAUACAUGCAAGUCGAGCGAACAGAUGAGGAGCUUGCUCCUCUGACGUUAGCGGCGGACGGGUGAGCAACACGUGGAUAACCUACCUAUAAGACUGGGAUAACUUCGGGAAACCGGAGCUAAUACCGGAUAAUAUAUUGAACCGCAUGGUUCAAUAGUGAGGGACGGUUUUGCUGUCACUUAUAGAUGGAUCCGCGCCGCAUUAGCUAGUUGGUAAGGUAACGGCUUACCAAGGCAACGAUGCGUAGCCGACCUGAGAGGGUGAUCGGCCACACUGGAACUGAGACACGGUCCAGACUCCUACGGGAGGCAGCAGUAGGGAAUCUUCCGCAAUGGGCGAAAGCCUGACGGAGCAACGCCGCGUGAGUGAUGAAGGUCUUCGGAUCGUAAAACUCUGUUAUUAGGGAAGAACAAAUGUGUAAGUAACUAUGCACGUCUUGACGGUACCUAAUCAGAAAGCCACGGCUAACUACGUG
RNAcentral lists this ribosomal RNA (497 nucleotides) under uncultured bacterium. Its description in RNAcentral is "partial 16S ribosomal RNA". It matches the Rfam family "Bacterial small subunit ribosomal RNA", at positions 28 to 507 of the family's 1533-position model. The record is from RNAcentral.